This 472-nucleotide ribosomal RNA is filed under the name uncultured bacterium. RNAcentral describes it as "bacterial SSU rRNA". It matches the Rfam family "Bacterial small subunit ribosomal RNA", at positions 355 to 825 of the family's 1533-position model. The record is from RNAcentral.
UGGGGAAUUUUGGACAAUGGGCGCAAGCCUGAUCCAGCCAUGCCGCGUGCGGGAAGAAGGCCUUCGGGUUGUAAACCGCUUUUGUCAGGGAAGAAACGGUCUGUCUUAAUACUGCGGACUAAUGACGGUACCUGAAGAAUAAGCACCGGCUAACUACGUGCCAGCAGCCGCGGUAAUACGUAGGGUGCAAGCGUUAAUCGGAAUUACUGGGCGUAAAGCGUGCGCAGGCGGUUAUGCAAGACAGAUGUGAAAUCCCCGGGCUCAACCUGGGAACUGCAUUUGUGACUGUAUAGCUAGAGUACGGUAGAGGGGGAUGGAAUUCCGCGUGUAGCAGUGAAAUGCGUAGAUAUGCGGAGGAACACCGAUGGCGAAGGCAAUCCCCUGGACCUGUACUGACGCUCAUGCACGAAAGCGUGGGGAGCAAACAGGAUUAGAUACCCAUGUAGUCCCUGAGCGGGCUGGCAAGGCGCAU